GCUUAACACAUGCAAGUCGAGGGGUAUAGUUCUUCGGAAUUAGAGACCGGCGCACGAGUGCGUAACGCGUAUGCAAUCUACCUUUUACAGUGGGAUAGCCCAGAGAAAUUUGGAUUAAUACCGCAUAGUAUUAUAGGAUGGCAUCAUUUUAUAAUUAAAGUCACAACGGUAAAAGAUGAGCAUGCGUCCCAUUAGUUAGUUGGUAAGGUAACGGCUUACCGAGACUACGAUGGGUAGGGGUCCUGAGAGGGAGAUCCCCCACACUGGUACUGAGACACGGACCAGACUCCUACGGGAGGCAGCAGUGAGGAAUAUUGGACAAUGGGCGCAAGCCUGAUCCAGCCAUGCCGCGUGCAGGAUGGCGGUCCUAUGGAUUGUAAACUGCUUUUAUACGAGAAGAAACCACCCUACGUGUAGGGUCUUGACGGUAUCGUAAGAAUAAGGAUCGGCUAACUCCGUGCCAGCAGCCGCGGUAAUACGGAGGAUCCAAGCGUUAUCCGGAAUCAUUGGGUUUAAAGGGUCCGUAGGCGGUUUAGUAAGUCAGUGGUGAAAGCCCAUCGCUCAACGGUGGAACGGCCAUUGAUACUGCUAGACUUGAAUUAUUAGGAAGUAACUAGAAUAUGUAGUGUAGCGGUGAAAUGCUUAGAGAUUACAUGGAAUACCAAUUGCGAAGGCAGGUUACUACUAAUGGAUUGACGCUGAUGGACGAAAGCGUGGGUAGCGAACAGGAUUAGAUACCCUGGUAGUCCACGCCGUAAACGAUGGAUACUAGCCGUUGGGAGCAAUUUCAGUGGCUAAGCGAAAGUGAUAAGUAUCCCACCUGGGGAGUACGUUCGCAAGAAUGAAACUCAAAGGAAUUGACG
Molecule: ribosomal RNA, 863 nt
Filed under: uncultured bacterium
Lineage: Bacteria
Description: bacterial SSU rRNA
Rfam family: Bacterial small subunit ribosomal RNA
Source: RNAcentral